GGAAGGGGCAUUCAAAAGUCCAUUGGAACAUGGCGCCAUUGAGGGUGACAGCCCCGUAAGAUCAGCCCCAACCCUCCACCAAAUGAGUCGAGUUGUUUGGGAAUGCAACUCUAAGAGGUGGUAAACUCCAUCUAAGGCUAAAUAUCGACGAGAGACCGAUAGCGAACAAGUACAGUGAUGGAAAGAUGAAAAGCACUUUGAAAAGAGAGUGAAACAGUACGUGAAAUUGUUGGAAGGGAAGGGAUUGGGGAGGAAACCUCUUGCCCCGUGUUUGCGCGCAGUCAAAAGCUGUGCGGGCAUGCUUCGGCUACGCCCGCGCGUUGCCCGGCCGCGUUUAGACACGGCGCGAGCUAGUCCCCCCAAUCCGCCCGUCUUGAAACACGGACCAAGGAGUCUAAUGAUUGUGCGAGUGUGCGGACGUCAGCUCCCAGCGCGUAAUGAAAGUAAGCCGCAGUUCCACUGCGCUCCGGGCACACACGGGUGUGCCUGAGAAAGCACAGCUAUUAGGACCCGAAAAGAUGGUGAACUAUACUUGGAUAGGGUGAAGCCAGAGGAAACUCUGGUGGAGGCUCGCAGCGGUUCUGACGUGCAAAUCGAUCGUCGAAUCUGAGUAUAGGGGCGAAAGACUAAUCGAACCAUCUAGUAGCUGGUUCCUGCCGAAGUUUCCCUCAGG
RNAcentral lists this ribosomal RNA (673 nucleotides) under uncultured Ascomycota. RNAcentral's name for it is "eukaryotic LSU rRNA". It matches the Rfam family "Eukaryotic large subunit ribosomal RNA", at positions 163 to 977 of the family's 3401-position model. The record is from RNAcentral. Lineage: Eukaryota; Fungi; Ascomycota.